UACGGAAGGCAGCAGUGGGGAAUAUUGCACAAUGGGCGCAAGCCUGAUGCAGCCAUGCCGCGUGUAUGAAGAAGGCCUUCGGGUUGUAAAGUACUUUCAGUCGUGAGGAAGGUGUUAAGGUUAAUAACCUUAGCAAUUGACGUUAGCGACAGAAGAAGCACCGGCUAACUCCGUGCCAGCAGCCGCGGUAAUACGGAGGGUGCGAGCCGUUAAUCGGAAUUACUGGGCGUAAAGGGCACGCAGGCGGUUAAUUAAGUUGGAUGUGAAAUCCCCGGGCUUAACCUGGGAAUGGCAUUCAAGACUGGUUAGCUAGAGUCUUGUAGAGGGGGUAGAAUUCCAUGUGUAGCGGUGAAAUGCGUAGAGAUGUGGAGGAAUACCGGUGGCGAAGGCGGCCCCUGGACAAAGGCUGACGCUCAUGUGCGAAAGCGUGGGGAGCAAAC
This 440-nucleotide ribosomal RNA is filed under the name uncultured bacterium. Its description in RNAcentral is "bacterial SSU rRNA". It matches the Rfam family "Bacterial small subunit ribosomal RNA", at positions 340 to 773 of the family's 1533-position model. The record is from RNAcentral.